AAAUUAUUUGUGUUUUGCGGUGCCUCUGAUGAGGAUAAUAGGGAACCCGGUGCGAUUCCGGGACGAACCCGUCGCUGUGAGCGGGGACGAAAGCCGCCAUGACCACUGCAUCGUGUGGAUGUGACCGAAACGAUGCGGGAAGGGGCGGCCGGUAGAACGAUCCGCGAGUCAGAAGACCUGCCGUGAAGCGUUGUGUCCUG
Molecule: non-coding RNA, 200 nt
Filed under: Desulfosarcina cetonica
Lineage: Bacteria; Pseudomonadati; Thermodesulfobacteriota; Desulfobacteria; Desulfobacterales; Desulfosarcinaceae
Source: RNAcentral